RNAcentral lists this ribosomal RNA (450 nucleotides) under uncultured bacterium. RNAcentral's name for it is "bacterial SSU rRNA". It matches the Rfam family "Bacterial small subunit ribosomal RNA", at positions 406 to 867 of the family's 1533-position model. The record is from RNAcentral.
GGAUGACGGCCUUCGGGUUGUAAACCGCUUUCAGCAGGGAAGAAGCGCAAGUGACGGUACCUGCAGAAGAAGUACCGGCUAACUACGUGCCAGCAGCCGCGGUAAUACGUAGGGUACGAGCGUUGUCCGGAAUUAUUGGGCGUAAAGAGCUCGUAGGUGGUUGGUCACGUCUGCUGUGGAAACGCAACGCUUAACGUUGCGCGUGCAGUGGGUACGGGCUGACUAGAGUGCAGUAGGGGAGUCUGGAAUUCCUGGUGUAGCGGUGAAAUGCGCAUAUAUCAGGAGGAACACCGGUGGCGAAAGCGGUACUCUGGGCUGUAACUGACACUGAGGAGCGAAAGCAUGGGGAGCGAACAGGAUUAGAUACCCUGGUAGUCCAUGCCGUAGACGUUGGGCACUAGGUGUGGGGGGCAUUCCACGUUCUCCGCGCCGUAGCUACGCAUUAAGUGC